RNAcentral lists this long non-coding RNA (211 nucleotides) under Mytilus galloprovincialis (Mediterranean mussel). The record is from RNAcentral. Lineage: Eukaryota; Metazoa; Mollusca; Bivalvia; Mytilida; Mytilidae.
GGCCUGCAUUUUUUUUUUAGCUGUAAUCUCUGUCCUGCCUUUUUAUUUUUCACUCUGUUUGGUCCUGCUUUUUUUUUCUUUUAGUUUAUCCUGACUUUUUUUUUUUGGCAAUUGUCUCAUCCUGCCUUUUUUUUACUCAAAACUCCUGUCCUGCCUAUUUUUUUCAAAUUUCAUCCUAGCCCUCCAUAAAAAUCAAAUGGUAGCUCCCUUA